Molecule: ribosomal RNA, 327 nt
Filed under: Marinobacter guineae
Lineage: Bacteria; Pseudomonadati; Pseudomonadota; Gammaproteobacteria; Pseudomonadales; Marinobacteraceae
Description: bacterial SSU rRNA
Rfam family: Bacterial small subunit ribosomal RNA
Source: RNAcentral
ACAGGUCCUUCGGGAUGCUGACGAGCGGCGGACGGGUGAGUAAUGCUUAGGAAUCUGCCUGGUAGUGGGGGAUAGCCCGGGGAAACCCGGAUUAAUACCGCGUACGCCCUUCGGGGGAAAGCAGGGGAUCUUCGGACCUUGCGCUAUCAGAUGAGCCUAAGCCGGAUUAGCUAGUUGGUGGGGUAAAGGCCCACCAAGGCGACGAUCCGUAGCUGGUCUGAGAGGAUGAUCAGCCACAUCGGGACUGAGACACGGCCCGAACUCCUACGGGAGGCAGCAGUGGGGAAUAUUGGACAAUGGGGGCAACCCUGAUCCAGCCAUGCCGCG